UGCUGGACUGAAAUUGGACUUUCAGUAAACUCCUGUCUAUCGGCCUUACCUCUACCAGUUAGGGGCUGUAGUCAUUACCUCUCCAAAGUGUUCAUGUCCUAAUCCUCAGAACACGUUGUUUGAUGAUGAGGGGAAAUUAAAGGUGCAGGUGGAACUAAGGUUGCUAAUCAGCUGACCUUACAAUAAGAAGGUUAACCUGGAUGACACAGGUGGGUCCAACAUAAUCACCAGGGUUCUUAAACGAUGGAAGGAGUCGGAAGAGGCGGUGUCGACUGAGGAAGACCUGACGUCAGAGACGGAAGGGAGCUACAAGCGAGGAAUGUGGGCAGCUUCUAGAGAACGGAAAGGCAAGAACGUGGAUUUUCCCCAGAGCCCGAAAGGAAUGCAGCCCUCCUGACACCUUGACUUUCGGACCUCUGAGUCUCAGAGCUGAAAGGUCAUCAAAAAGGAUGUUCGAUGGGCCAUGGCUGAACCCUUGUGGCCCACUACCAGACACUGCCUUUCCAGCAGACAUAGAUGGAUUCAUUCACCCUCUCACCUGCCAUGAAGACACUGAAUAUACUCACUUCACCCACAUAGGAGCAAACGGAGGCAAGUGGAGGGCCGAGAUAAAAAGUGAAGUAUGGAGGAGCUGUAACCUGGCCUUACCAUGGACUUCACCACUGAUUGUAAACAAGGUAACACUGUCUCUCGUACCCUUAUUUCCCAUCUCUAAAAGAGGACAGCAACAAGCUGGCCCCGGAUUCCCUAGGGAACCAGAAAGCCUGGUAGCAGGUGUGUGUGCCUCAUCUCCGCCCUCCAUACCUAAGCUGCCUAGAAUCACAUCCAGACUCUGGGAGCUGUUGGGUCCCAUGUAGUCUUUUGAAGGAAAAUGAGGCUGUGUGGGCAGGAUGUGGUGUUGCUGUGUGGGGUGAUGGAGAAGGAACCGGACUGGGAGCCAGAGGGCUCACCUUUCUAGUCCUGUCAGUCACACAAUUAAAUAUGGAAGUAGAAGUGGAAGCACCACAAAAAUGAUUAUACAUGUCAAGUGGCAAUGAUAAUUGCAUGCUGUGACUGUCCUUGCAAGGGAUGAUUUGUGGGAUGAGGGAGAAGAUUCUGGAAAAAGGAAAAGCAAAGAGGAUCUGGGAGCAGAGUCUAGCUAUAUUAUUUUAGUCAUUGGUGAUGUUUGCUCUGAAGCAGCGCUUAGGUUUAAACAACCUCAUUUUACAGAUGAGGAUACUCAGACUCUAACAGGUCAAGUGGCUUGCCCAAAGUAAGUAUGGAUCCAGGAUUUGAACCCAGAGCUAUGUGACCCUAAAACUCAUGCUCUUCUCAUGUUGAUGUGCUGCUUUUCAUUGACCUUGACUUGGGUCCCAAGGGGAGUCAGCAUUGCUUAGCUGAGACAAAGUCCUUCCAUGUCGUUUCAGGAAUGUUGGGGGCCUCCUCUUGAGUCCUGAACCUGAGUCCUCCUAGUAAGAUAUGUGGCCACUUUUUGUGAUUCCCUUUUGGGUACCAUUCAUGAUCACUGCUGUUAGCAAUGGUAAUGGCCAAGACACUAGGGAUGGCCCAGGUGUCUUGACAGGCAGGCCAUGCACAACUUGCUAUCCAUACUUGAAGGAAGCUAUAAACAUCCUUGGAAACAAGGUCCCAAACUGGUAAAGCGUGAAGGGAUGAUGGGCUCUUAGGAAGCCAUAAAUCUGUAUCCUUGAGUCUUACCUUUCAAGAGACUUGAAUAUGUUUGACCGAAGACUCUGUAUCCUUGAGUCUCACCUUUCAGGAGACUUGAAUAUGUUUAACCAUACCAAAGGUCCGCAGACCUUAGGCAUGGUUAGCAGAAGCCUAGGGAAAAUUGGCUCUUCUUCAGCAUGGUUCUUGCAGGACAGCACAGUGGUGAGGACUUGAAGUGGAUCACAGGUCAGUGUCUGCUUCAUAAUCACAGAAGAAGCAACAGAAAAGACACCGCAGCAAUACGGACAUCCACGUAAGUGAAAGGUAGGAAGCUGUUGCUCCUCCUGGAUGUGUCUUUGGAUGAACAUCUUGGCAUCAUGUGGAUUUAAAAUGGGAAGCCCCCCUUUGGAUUUCCUUAGCCUCUUAGGUAAGACAUGGGAACCCCUUGUUUCCACGUAAGGCAUCAUUCCAGGUCAUAAGAGGAUGUGAGAGUAAAUGAUCAUUUACCUUUACUCUGCAAAGCAUUUAUUAAAACAUAUUUAAUUUAACUGGCCAAAGGGCACAGUAUUCUCAUGCUGUUCAAUGCCUAUUCUUAGGUAACGGUAGGUUCAAAGACAGCUCUGCAUAUUGUCUUUCACCUACCCAAAUAUCACAGAUAUCAACGCGGAAAAGUGUUUUCCUUUUCCUCCUCAAGAAGGUUGGGGGUUUGGUGUAAAGAACCUAUGCUCAGAAGUAGCAACCAAGAAAUUCUGGAAUUGAAAUCUUUGAACUACUAGUCUGUCGGGUAAUAAACAGAACUGGAUCACAAACGACUGAUUUAUUCUUUGCAAAAUGCAUCCCUCCCUCUGCUGUUCAUCUCCCAAAAAUAAAACCACCCACAGGAUAAAAUGAGUAACUUCCCUAGAGCAAGCAGUGUCACAGACUCCCUUAUUAAAAUAUGUCUGGCAUGAGAGUCUACCAGGAAAUGCCCUCCAAUAGAGGAUUAAUACCAGGAAACUUGGCGUGGUCUUGUGAUACUGGCACGCAAUGCCGCCACCUCCACCACUGGAGCAAAGAUGAACAGCUGGGAAGACUUCUACUUCUGAGUAAUCUGGGCAAACAUGAAAUCAUACUCCACUGGACUUUGGCUUUUAAACCAAGCAAAUAAUAGAAACCUUGCCUUCCUUAUUUAAACAUUCACAUUUAGGUAAUAAUAUAAACUUUUUGCUAGCGGCCUCUUGUCUGCUCAUGGUGGGUGUGGACUUGACAGUAUCUUUCUCAGCUCUUUUAUCUCCCAGACCUCAUUCUGGCCUUCAGCAUGCUCUUUGAUUCUCUCAUGAGUUCAUGACGGCCAAGGAGAGCUUUGGUGUGUCAGGCUGAGGGCUACUUAAGGAAAGGAGCCCACCUGUGCUUUUGGAUAUUCACAGCGCCUAGAACAUCUGGCACUUAGUGGGUAUUCCAAGUUUUGCUGAAUUGGCAUAUUGUAGAAAUUUAACGUAACUCGUCUUUCUUGAUUACCUACUAGGUGUACUCCCCAAAGUUGUCUGGCAAAGCUCUCCAAAGUUGAAAGCUAAGAGACAAAUUGUCCCCCACUUCUUUGAUGACAGGCGCAGCUAAGAAUGUUAUAAUUCUGGACUGAAUUGUCAGCAUUCAGCAUUCCCUUUGUGCUGUCGGAACCUAUAGAGGGUAAAGAAGACCAAAUCUCUCCUCCCAUGAAAGAACUUUCAAAUCCAGAAGUCUGGAAGACCCAGACACUCCAGGUACAGGGCAGGGUGGGGCACCUCAGCAGAUACCGCAGGUACCGGGAAAGCAGUGGAGCUGGGGCAAAGAGGAAGGUGAGGUGGGGAACUGCAAGGACCAAAGCCAGUGGGGCCGGGCUGGCUCAUCCUACUCCACUAUCGGUCCAUUUAAAGGACAGAUUUCCAAUCCAAUCCUAUCUCAAUGAAAUGCUUUCUUAGGUCUGGUUUGUUUUGUUUGUAAAGAAUGAUGUGCUUUUAUACAAGCUCUGCCCGAUGGCUAGCCAUCUGGGCCUUCUAUUUCCCUCUGCACAGAACCUCAUGCCCCACAGGUCAAGGUCUCCCAACCUGAAUGGGAAAAUGGAUGCUCAUGACGUCGACGGAUGGGCAGAUGGACAAAUGAGUGAAUGGAUCCAGGGCCAUCGUCCUUGGAAUGUCCUUGGAUACUCUGAGAUUUUUAAAAUGGAAGCCAAGCAGCCACUGUGCUGGCAGCUGAUUCCUAUCUCUUCUAGAGCCUGUGGAGGCUUUGGAAAGAGGCAGAUGUCCUACAAGGAAGCUGUGGGUUCUCAAUACUUCCUGUGGUUUAAUUCUCUCCACCAAUAACUGCCAGCAGAGCUUUAGACGACAUGCCCCAGGAUUCAGAUCUUUCUCCUGGCUCCAGCCCGCUCUGCCCAUCACCAUGGGAUUCACCCACUUCCAGGCUAAAUCUAUGAAACUGGAACAACACAGCAAACAGCUGAGGGCUAUGGUCACAGCCCACAGACCUGUAUGGAAGAUUUGGUCUUGGCCCAAAUUUUCAAAGCUAAAUGGAUCAGCAAAACACAAGUGCAAAUGCUGGGCCCAUGCUGACAGGGUGUCUUGUGAAAUAUUUCCACAGGAAGCAAACACAGGCAAUUAACUUGGCUCCAACAAUGCAUGUGGUCAAAUAAGAAAGACAACCCUUGCAGAGAGGCUGCACCCACCCCCAGUCCCUGCCUCCAGUGAAUCCAUAAAUCUGGCUGUACUUUCACCCAGGCUACUGAGCACUAAUGUUAAAGCACAUGACCACCACAGAGGUAUACGAGAACCAUCAUGACCAGCUGAGAAAGCCGCCCAGAGUCCCUGAGCCCAAUGGGCCACUCAAAGGGCUGAGAUGUUAACAUCCCCAUUUAUCAGAUGGGCAAACUGAGAAGAGAAAGUUUGAAGAACUUAAAUGUAGAAUUCUAGAAGGAACUCCUAGACUCUUGGCCUUUUUCUAGGGAUGGGCACUUUUCCAGGUCUCAGUGUGACAACCAAUCCCUCAGCACUAACAAUCCAGGGACAGAGUGGUCUGAGCAGAAUCUCAGUCAGCAAGCGAGGCCAUCCUGGCUGGUCAUGGUCUGCUAAGGAUUUUAACCUCCUUUUUAUACCUGGGAACUUCUGAACUUCACCUCCCUUGCCGAGGCAGGCAGCCAGUGCUGGCCAGGAAGGUAAGGCAGUGUGAGUCUUUUGGCACCUGCUGACCUCUGCUCUGCAACACUCAAUCCUGAUAUAGAAACAUUCACAAUUCAGAUUGCUGUGCUGCCAUGGCUGGGUCAAAACAAAGUCUCCUCUAACCUAUUCUCUGAUAUCCAUCAUGCCCAAUCCUCCAUCCUGUAGAUUUCUGGAUUUCUUGAAGCAUUUCAAUAAUUUUCAUGACAUACUAUUUAGUACAGGGCCUGUGAUUCAAAUGGCUGAAGAAAACGAAAGGAAAAAUUAUAUUUUGUGAAAAAUUAUAUGAAACUGGAUUUCACUGUUCAUAAAUAAACACAGCCGUAGGUCCUCAUUUAUGCUGUUUACAUUGCUGUGUUGCUGCAUUGUAGCUGCUUUUGUAUGGUAGAAUUGAAUUGUUGUGACAUAGACCAUAGGACUCACAAAGCCUGCAAUGUCUACUGUCUGGCUCUUUUUAGAAAAAGUUUAGUUUUUUAACUGACCCCUGGUUUUAGGUAAAAGGCAGGUUACAGGAUCACCCUAUUUGUAAAAUCCCCUGUUGUGGAAUGAUGUUGUGUCUCCCUAAAUUUCAUAUUGUGGAAGCCCUGAUGCCCAGUGUGGUGGUAUUUGGAGGUGGGUCUUUUGGGAGGUAAUUAGCUUUAGAUGAAGUCAUGAUAGAGGUGCUUAUGAUGGCAUUAGUGUUCUCAUAAGAAGAGGAAGAGAGACCAGAGUGCAUAUCCCGCUAUAAGGACACAGCAAGAAG
Molecule: long non-coding RNA, 5553 nt
Organism: Sapajus apella (tufted capuchin)
Lineage: Eukaryota; Metazoa; Chordata; Mammalia; Primates; Cebidae
Exons: 5
Source: RefSeq, a predicted model, not a curated record